This is a long non-coding RNA of Lycium barbarum (goji berry), 349 nucleotides long. RefSeq lists it as uncharacterized. Lineage: Eukaryota; Viridiplantae; Streptophyta; Magnoliopsida; Solanales; Solanaceae. The transcript is spliced from 3 exons. The record is from RefSeq and is a predicted model, not a curated record.
AAUUCCAGUCCGGGUAGCGUAUAAUUAUUGGUGCAGAAUCAUAUAACAGUGUGUGGUGGCCUAAAUUUAGCGUGGAAAAGUGGAGAUUAAGCAAUAUUAAAGGGAGAAAGACUUACAAGCUCGGACACAUAAGCAUAGCUAAUAGGACGUGGAACAGGUACACCCAAAGGAUGCGAAGUUAACAUAGAAGAUGUUCCAGCGGAGUUGGUAGGCUCCACUUGUCCUGGAGUGCUGCCAAGUCAGAGUAUAUGUAGUAUGACGCUAUGUUCGAGGUUAGAGACUUUGCAGACAGAGUCGUGGGUAUAGAGUGUCGGUUCUGUCAGCAGCCUAUGUGUCAUUUUAUGUUAUG